Molecule: ribosomal RNA, 1134 nt
Filed under: uncultured organism
Description: bacterial SSU rRNA
Rfam family: Bacterial small subunit ribosomal RNA
Source: RNAcentral
CCCCCACACUGGCACUGGGACACGGGCCAGACUCCUACGGGAGGCAGCAGUGAGGAAUAUUGCGCAAUGAGCGAAAGCUAGACGCAGCAACGCCGCGUGGGUGAUGAAGGCCUUCGGGUCGUAAAACCCUUUUCUGGGGGAAGAGUAAGGACGGUACCCCAGGAAUAAGCCUCGGCUAACUAUGUGCCAGCAGCCGCGGUAAUACAUAGGAGGCAAGCGUUAUCCGGAUUUACUGGGCGUAAAGAGCGUUGAGGCGGCUUCGUAAGUUGGACGUGAAAGCUCCCGGCUUAACUGGGAGAGGCCGUUCAAUACUGCGGGGCUUGAGGACAGCAGAGGGGGGUGGAAUUUCCGGUGUAGUGGUGAAAUGCGUAGAUAUCGGAAGGAACACCAGUGGCGAAGGCGGCCCCCUGGGCUGCUCCUGACGCUGAAGGCGAAAGCUAGGGUAGCGAACGGGAUUAGAAACCCCGGUAGUCCUAGCCGUAAACGAUGGAUACUAGGUGUAGGAGGUUAAAAUUCCUUCUGUGCCGGAGCUAACGCGUUAAGUAUCCCGCCUGGGGAGUACGGUCGCAAGGCUAAAACUCAAAGGAAUUGACGGGGGCCCGCACAAGCAGCGGAGCGUGUGGUUUAAUUCGAUGCAACGCGAAGAACCUUACCAGGGCUUGACAUGUAGGUAGUAGUGAAGCGAAAGCGGAACGAUCCUUCGGGAAGCCUACACAGGUGCUGCAUGGCUGUCGUCAGCUCGUGCCGUGAGGUGUUAGGUUAAGUCCUGUAACGAGCGCAACCCCUGCCGUUAGUUACAAGUGUCUAACGGGACUGCCCGGCAAAACUGGGAGGAAGGUGGGGAUGACGUCAAGUCAGCAUGGCCUUUAUGUCCUGGGCUACACACACGCUACAAUGGCCGGUACAAUGGGUUGCCAAGCCGCGAGGCGGAGCCAAUCCUCUAAAGCCGGUCUCAGUUCGGAUUGUAGGCUGCAACCCGCCUGCAUGAAGUUGGAGUUGCUAGUAACCGCAGGUCAGCCACACUGCGGUGAAUACGUUCCCGGGCCUUGUACACACCGCCCGUCACGUCAUGGAAGCUGGUGACACCUGAAGCCGGUGAGCUAACCGCAAGGAAGCAACCGUCGAAGGUGGGAC